UACGUAGGGGGCAAGCGUUGUCCGGAAUCAUUGGGCGUAAAGCGCGUGUAGGCGGCCCGGUAAGUCCGCUGUGAAAGUCCGGGGCUCAACCCCGGGAGGCGGGCGGAUACUGUCGGGCUAGAGUCCGGAAGAGGCGAGUGGAAUUCCUGGUGUAGCGGUGAAAUGCGCAGAUAUCAGGAGGAACACCAGCGGCGAAGGCGGCGCUCUGGGCCGGUACUGACACUGAGGAGCGAAAGCGUGGGGAGCGAACAGG
RNAcentral lists this ribosomal RNA (253 nucleotides) under uncultured bacterium. RNAcentral describes it as "partial 16S ribosomal RNA". It matches the Rfam family "Bacterial small subunit ribosomal RNA", at positions 524 to 776 of the family's 1533-position model. The record is from RNAcentral.